GACGAACGCUGGCGGCGUGCCUAAUACACGCAAGUCGAACGAACUCUGGUAUUGAUUGGUGCUUGCAUCAUGAUUUACAUUUGAGUGAGUGGCGAACUGGUGAGUAACACGUGGGAAACCUGCCCAGAAGCGGGGGAUAACACCUGGAAACAGAUGCUAAUACCGCAUAACAACUUGGACCGCAUGGUCCGAGCUUGAAAGAUGGCUUCGGCUAUCACUUUUGGAUGGUCCCGCGGCGUAUUAGCUAGAUGGUGGGGUAACGGCUCACCAUGGCAAUGAUACGUAGCCGACCUGAGAGGGUAAUCGGCCACAUUGGGACUGAGACACGGCCCAAACUCCUACGGGAGGCAGCAGUAGGGAAUCUUCCACAAUGGACGAAAGUCUGAUGGAGCAACGCCGCGUGAGUGAAGAAGGGUUUCGGCUCGUAAAACUCUGUUGUUAAAGAAGAACAUAUCUGAGAGUAACUGUUCAGGUAUUGACGGUAUUUAACCAGAAAGCCACGGCUAACUACGUGCCAGCAGCCGCGGUAAUACGUAGGUGGCAAGCGUUGUCCGGAUUUAUUGGGCGUAAAGCGAGCGCAGGCGGUUUUUUAAGUCUGAUGUGAAAGCCUUCGGCUCAACCGAAGAAGUGCAUCGGAAACUGGGAAACUUGAGUGCAGAAGAGGACAGUGGAACUCCAUGUGUAGCGGUGAAAUGCGUAGAUAUAUGGAAGAACACCAGUGGCGAAGGCGGCUGUCUGGUCUGUAACUGACGCUGAGGCUCGAAAGUAUGGGUAGCAAACAGGAUUAGAUACCCUGGUAGUCCAUACCGUAAACGAUGAAUGCUAAGUGUUGGAGGGUUUCCGCCCUUCAGUGCUGCAGCUAACGCAUUAAGCAUUCCGCCUGGGGAGUACGGCCGCAAGGCUGAAACUCAAAGGAAUUGACGGGGGCCCGCACAAGCGGUGGAGCAUGUGGUUUAAUUCGAAGCUACGCGAAGAACCUUACCAGGUCUUGACAUACUAUGCAAAUCUAAGAGAUUAGACGUUCCCUUCGGGGACAUGGAUACAGGUGGUGCAUGGUUGUCGUCAGCUCGUGUCGUGAGAUGUUGGGUUAAGUCCCGCAACGAGCGCAACCCUUAUUAUCAGUUGCCAGCAUUAAGUUGGGCACUCUGGUGAGACUGCCGGUGACAAACCGGAGGAAGGUGGGGACGACGUCAAAUCAUCAUGCCCCUUAUGACCUGGGCUACACACGUGCUACAAUGGAUGGUACAACGAGUUGCGAACUCGCGAGAGUAAGCUAAUCUCUUAAAGCCAUUCUCAGUUCGGGUUGUAGGCUGCAACUCGCCUACAUGAAGUCGGAAUCGCUAGUAAUCGCGGAUCAGCAUGCCGCGGUGAAUACGUUCCCGGGCCUUGUACACACCGCCCGUCACACCAUGAGAGUUUGUAACACCCAAAGUCGGUGGGGUAACCUUUUAGGAACCAGCCGCCUAAGGUGGGACAGAUGAUUAGGGUG
This 1489-nucleotide ribosomal RNA is filed under the name Lactiplantibacillus plantarum. RNAcentral describes it as "bacterial SSU rRNA". It matches the Rfam family "Bacterial small subunit ribosomal RNA". The record is from RNAcentral. Lineage: Bacteria; Bacillati; Bacillota; Bacilli; Lactobacillales; Lactobacillaceae.